GACGAACGCUGGCGGCGUGCUUAACACAUGCAAGUCGAACGGAAAGGCCCUGCUUUUGUGGGGUGCUCGAGUGGCGAACGGGUGAGUAACACGUGAGUAACCUGCCCUUGACUUUGGGAUAACUUCAGGAAACUGGGGCUAAUACCGGCUAGGAGCUCCUGCUGCAUGGUGGGGGUUGGAAAGUUUCGGCGGUUGGGGAUGGACUCGCGGCUUAUCAGCUUGUUGGUGGGGUAGUGGCUUACCAAGGCUUUGACGGGUAGCCGGCCUGAGAGGGUGACCGGCCACAUUGGGACUGAGAUGCGGCCCAGACUCCUACGGGAGGCAGCAGUGGGGAAUAUUGCACAAUGGGCGGAGGCCUGAUGCAGCAACGCCGCGUGCGGGAUGACGGCCGUCGGGUGGUAAACCGCUUUCGCCUGUGACGAAGCGUGAGUGACGGUAAUGGGUAAAGAAGCACCGGCUAACUACGUG
Molecule: ribosomal RNA, 468 nt
Filed under: uncultured bacterium
Lineage: Bacteria
Description: partial 16S ribosomal RNA
Rfam family: Bacterial small subunit ribosomal RNA
Source: RNAcentral